GCACUAGUCGGGGAGAUAGCGGUGCCCUGUAACCCGCAAUCCGCUACAGCGGGGGUGAAUUCCCAACCGAGGGUGCAGAAUGUGCCGUCUGACCCAUAUAAGCGGCGUUGAUGAUUUGGUCUUGCGCAACAAGGCUCUGUGAACCGUGUCAGGUGGGGAACCAAGCAGCACUAAGCAGUCCACCUUGUGUGCCGCGAGGUAGCCGUUUCUGAGCUGGCUGUAUGGGUAACGGGUG
This 235-nucleotide signal recognition particle RNA is filed under the name pig gut metagenome. RNAcentral describes it as "Bacterial large signal recognition particle RNA". It matches the Rfam family "Bacterial large signal recognition particle RNA", at positions 3 to 230 of the family's 256-position model. Rfam says of the family: The signal recognition particle (SRP) is a universally conserved ribonucleoprotein involved in the co-translational targeting of proteins to membranes. Archaeal SRP consists of a 7S RNA and homologues of the eukaryotic SRP19 and SRP54 proteins. In most bacteria, the SRP consists of a 4.5S RNA and the Ffh protein (a homologue of the eukaryotic SRP54 protein). The record is from RNAcentral.